This 92-nucleotide transfer RNA is filed under the name Pseudidiomarina aestuarii. Its description in RNAcentral is "Idiomarina aestuarii tRNA-Ser". It matches the Rfam family "tRNA". From Rfam's summary of the family: Transfer RNA (tRNA) molecules are approximately 80 nucleotides in length. Their secondary structure includes four short double-helical elements and three loops (D, anti-codon, and T loops). Lineage: Bacteria; Pseudomonadati; Pseudomonadota; Gammaproteobacteria; Alteromonadales; Idiomarinaceae. The record is from RNAcentral. RNAcentral also lists the same sequence under 2 other names.
GGAGAGAUGGCAGAGUCCGGUUUAAUGCACCUGACUUGAAAUCAGGCGUGGGUUUGCGCCCACCGGGGGUUCGAAUCCCUCUCUCUCCGCCA